CGGAGAGUAGUACAAUGGUAGUACGCGCGAUUCGGGUUCGCGUGAUCCGGGUUCGACUCCCGGCUUUCCGA
RNAcentral lists this transfer RNA (71 nucleotides) under bacterium. Its description in RNAcentral is "tRNA-Pro". It matches the Rfam family "tRNA". From Rfam's summary of the family: Transfer RNA (tRNA) molecules are approximately 80 nucleotides in length. Their secondary structure includes four short double-helical elements and three loops (D, anti-codon, and T loops). Further hydrogen bonds mediate the characteristic L-shaped molecular structure. tRNAs have two regions of fundamental functional importance: the anti-codon, which is responsible for specific mRNA codon recognition, and the 3' end, to which the tRNAs corresponding amino acid is attached (by aminoacyl-tRNA synthetases). tRNAs cope with the degeneracy of the genetic code in two manners: having more than one tRNA (with a specific anti-codon) for a particular amino acid; and 'wobble' base-pairing, i.e. permitting non-standard base-pairing at the 3rd anti-codon position. The record is from RNAcentral.